UUGGAGGGCAAGUCUGGUGCCAGCAGCCGCGGUAAUUCCAGCUCCAAUAGCGUAUAUUAAAGUUGUUGCAGUUAAAAAGCUCGUAGUUGAAUUUCGGGGUUUAUACGUUGGUCGGGCUUUUGGGUCUGUACUGGCGUAAUGAAUUCCUACCUUCUGAAUAACCAGCAUGUCAUUAAUUUGAUGCGCCGGGGAAGCAGGACUGUUACCUUGAAAAAAUUAGAGUGCUUAAAGCAGGCUAUUGCCUGAAUACAUUAGCAUGGAAUAAUGAAAAAGGACGGCAUGGUUCUAUUUUGUUGGUUUCUAGGAUCACCGUAAUGAUUAAUAGGGAUAGUUGGGGGCAUUAGUAUUCAAUUGUCAGAGGUGAAAUUCUUGGAUUUAUUGAAGACUAACUUCUGCGAAAGCAUUUGCCAAGGAUGUUUUCAUUAAUCAAGAACGAAAGUUAGGGGAUCGAAGGCGAUCAGAUACCGUCGUAGUCUUAACCAUAAACUAUGCCGACUAGGAAUCAGACGAUGUUAAUUUUUUAAUGACUCGUUCGGCGCCUUACGGGAAAC
Molecule: ribosomal RNA, 551 nt
Filed under: uncultured Acaulospora
Lineage: Eukaryota; Fungi; Glomeromycota; Glomeromycetes; Diversisporales; Acaulosporaceae
Description: SSU rRNA
Rfam family: Eukaryotic small subunit ribosomal RNA
Source: RNAcentral